CAAUUUGUGUGAAAAGUUUUAAUAAAUAUAUCUCAUGAACCGUAAGUUUGCGCAACCUAAAUCUUUGCAAAACUCUUUCUUUUAUGUUAAAGUUUGGGCUAAAUUUUGUUUUCCUAAUGGUGAUGGGACAUCCAUUGAAUCAUUAAAAACAGUGAAUGCCCAGCAUAGGAUACUAUGUGAAAAUCAUUUGAAUGAAUCUUCAUUUACCAGCAGCGAUAGGAAAAGACUUAACAAGUUAGAUUAAGAGUGAAUAGAGGAGGAUAUAGACCAAUUAAAAAACAAACAUUGUAGUCCAUAUAGAGCAAGUUAUGACAUCCAAGAACCAUCAACUAGCAAAGGUAUUUUGUAGGACUUGGACGUGAAAAAGUUCAGUGAACUUACACCUCAAAAGCAAACGCUGUCUAAGAGAUGCAGAAAAAAUCUAUCUGAAAUAGUGAGGCUCUGAAAAAAGUUUCAAGGUUAUUUUGUCAGCUCUCUCAAGGCAUUAUUGAACAAAAUUCCAAUGGUAUGUGGAAUCAACAGCCCAGUAAUACAGACAGUAAAAGAAAUCACAAAAGACCAAGAUGUCAAUGAUAGUUUAUGUAAAAUGGCUUUUGAUGAAAUGUCAAUAAGAAAAAAUCUGACAUAUAACGUAAAACUCAAUGCUAAGGCCGUACUACUGUGAUAGCAAACCAUAGUCGAACUUUCAUGGUUAUCGGUGUUCGAAAAUGCUGGAAACAGCCAAUAGCAUUUUACUUCUCAGGAGAUUGUGACACAGCAGACAAGUCAGCAGCUCUUGUCGAGGAGGUACAGUAAAGUGGAGCCACAUAGAGGAGUUUUAUAAUAAAGAUCGC
This is a long non-coding RNA of Pieris brassicae (large cabbage white), 833 nucleotides long. RefSeq lists it as uncharacterized. Lineage: Eukaryota; Metazoa; Arthropoda; Insecta; Lepidoptera; Pieridae. The transcript is spliced from 5 exons. The record is from RefSeq and is a predicted model, not a curated record.